UGAUUCUACAGGGACUCUGAAUGACUCUGGGAAAGCUCAGUUGAAACUACUAAAAUGGCAUUUGCAGCUGCAUUAAUCAUCCUCCAGCUUUAGAGAAGACGAAACUGAUAAAAGGAUGUUCUUUGAAGAUAAUUCUGUAGUAUACACCUAGAUGUCAAUGUUUGCUUCAUAAAGUGAAAGGGACAGAAAGCAUAUGGGAGAUUCUGGUGCCUGAAACAGGAUAAAAAUGACCCAACCAGACACAGAACAACAUUUUGAGUUGAUUGUAAAUCAACCAGCAUAUAAGUGGACUCUUCAGCAACAUUCAGCAGUUCUUCUUCAGCAGUGACUUACGUUCCAACUACAGCUUCAUGGAUUAUUUCUGAAGGCUACUGAGAAAGGAACACAGGCUAAAACUGGUAUAAUGCUCUGAUGCCCUGAGGCGUGUUUGUGUUUUCUCUCCUGGCGUUGGUCAAUUGAAGCAAUAUCAAAGUCUGCAGAUGCCAUGGAUGUUUGAAUGACUCCAUCUCAUUCUCCAAGGUGGUGGAAAUGUGAAAAUUCUGACCCCUGAGCGUCUGCGAUUGCUGGGGCCCUGAAGUUGCACUGAGAACGAGGGCCCUGGUACGAAGGCUGCUUUUCCCCACUCCUGCAGAGGGGUGCGAUUGCUGUCAGAAGAUUGGAUUUAUGUUGCGACACCUCCCCUUCCCUUUUAAUUUUUUGGCAUGAGAUCAGCAUGAAAAUCACGAUGUCCUUGUUAAGCCUGGCUGAGCCAAAGAAUAAUGACCUUUUUCGUGUUCUGUCAUUUGUUGGGUGGGUUUGUCCCUGUCCUCUUGCUUUGUUUUCUCAGGGAUCGGAGAAUUCAGAAACCCAUCAAACUGUAAGAUCCUGGCUGGGUUAAAACCAGGCCAGGGUGGCCUAAGCAAUGCUCGCACUUUUCAGAGAUCAUUAUUUCGUGACAAAGAUUGAAAGGAGCAUAGAAAAUAGCACAACGGGAUUCAAUGCACGUGACAAAAGGAAAUGGUACAAAGUUUAAUCCAUUCCCAUUACAGUCUCAAGAUGGUAAUCUCUUUGGAUGCUGAGCCUAAGAAUCUUUUUUUUUUCCCCCUACACGAUGCAUCAUCAAGUUGCUUUCGAAGCAGGUCCGUAGGCUGGAGGGAGGUGGCACAAGUUAUAUAACAUGCAAUUUAAGAUAAUGGCCUUUGAAAGGGAGAAAUUAAUAUAAACAGACGAGGCCAACAAAGCUUCAGUCAUCUAGAAGGUAGUUUCAGUCACCACUGACAUUAAACAAUAUCACCCCCACUGCGUCCACGCUAUGUUUAUUAUCAUUUAAUUUCUUGCCCAAAUCCGUGCUUUCUUAUCGUGAUGUCGCAGGGAUUGUAAGCUCUGUUAUGACUACAAUCAGUAGAAAAAAAUGCAAUCAUCUAGGCGGGUAACAAGAUAAAGAAAUUGAGCUCUCUGUCUUAACCUUUUAAAUAUUCUACCAAAAACAUUAGCAAAAAAAUGGAAGCUAUAGCGUUUCCAUAAUUAUCCCAGCACUGUCUUUGUUCUGGUAAUGAUAGAAUCCAUACUUUCAAUUUGCAGUGCUUAAUAAUAGCAGCUGUCUUGUCUGCUCAACUGUGGGGUGUUAGGGCUCCCAUAAUUAUUCAUUUUCACUCACUUGACAGUGGGUGUUUCCUUGAAAUAUUUCAGGCCACAUCAGAAGAAAGAAUUUUAAAAUCCUUUUAAGGGUUCCGUUAUACAUAACAAUAUUGAAUUAUGCAUUAAUAAAACAAAUUUAAUUGACUUGGAGGUGCACGAGCCCUAAUUAACAAUAUACCUCAAUACUGAGAACGGAUGGCUAUAGAUCAUCAGGCACACACAAAAGCAGACAUAAUGAUUGUUAUCAUUAAUGUAUGAGGGUUUGUUGUCUUUCAGUCCUUAAAACCACACACUUUGCUUUUUCUUUCCCUCUUCCAUGAUUUUC
Molecule: non-coding RNA, 1942 nt
Organism: Ictidomys tridecemlineatus (thirteen-lined ground squirrel)
Lineage: Eukaryota; Metazoa; Chordata; Mammalia; Rodentia; Sciuridae
Source: RefSeq, a predicted model, not a curated record